UUACCUACUUUUAGGGGGGCACUGAACUGUUACGUAUGCGACAGCUCAGAGGGCGACACUAAUUGCCGAAGUGGAUCGGGAGUUCGUAACGUUACAUGUACAAACCCACCUUCGAAUCACGUGAGGGUGUGCCUUGCAUUUGCAGAAACUGUGAGCGGGGUGACAAAAUAUAUCAGAAAGUGCGACGCUGAACUGAUAAGUUCAGCUUGCGAUGAAAUGAGAAACCGUGGUCGAGACAUUGGCAACUGUUAUUCUUGUUACACUGAUUAUUGUAACGGAAAUCCUCUUUAAAAAAUGUCGAAGGAUAUUAAUUGAACUGUGUGCAUAUUUCAAUAAAUUGUAACAUCAGAGACUUAAAUAUAAUUUAUAGGAAAUGA
Molecule: long non-coding RNA, 377 nt
Organism: Photinus pyralis (common eastern firefly)
Lineage: Eukaryota; Metazoa; Arthropoda; Insecta; Coleoptera; Lampyridae
Exons: 3
Source: RefSeq, a predicted model, not a curated record